This 239-nucleotide long non-coding RNA is filed under the name Carica papaya (papaya). RNAcentral's name for it is "long non-coding RNA (CPAP_LNC000497)". The record is from RNAcentral. Lineage: Eukaryota; Viridiplantae; Streptophyta; Magnoliopsida; Brassicales; Caricaceae.
ACAUUUCUCAAAGGCCAGGUCUCUCCUCCGGGUAUCAGCAUAACUCUUCUGCCUACUCUGAGCUGUCCGGAUGUUCUUCUUGAUCUUAACUAUCUUGGACGUGGUUUCUUCUACCAAGUCCAGGCCAAACAAUCUUCUAUCGCCCACUUCUUCCCAACAGAUCGGUGACCUGCACGGACGCCCGUAUAGCGCCUCGUAUGGGGCCAUGCCGAUGCUUGCUUGGUAACUGUUGUUGUAAG